This 512-nucleotide ribosomal RNA is filed under the name uncultured bacterium. RNAcentral describes it as "bacterial SSU rRNA". It matches the Rfam family "Bacterial small subunit ribosomal RNA", at positions 15 to 518 of the family's 1533-position model. The record is from RNAcentral.
GAUUAUGGCUCAGGAUGAACGCUAGCUACAGGCUUAACACAUGCAAGUCGAGGGGCAGCAUGAAGUUGCUUGCAAACUUGAUGGCGACCGGCGCACGGGUGAGUAACGCGUAUCCAACCUGGCCCGCAGUAGGGAACAGCCCGGCGAAAGUCGGAUUAAUGCCCUAUGUCUUCCUUUGCAGGCAUCCAAUGAGGAAGAAAGAUUUAUCGCUGCGGGAUGGGGAUGCGUCUGAUUAGCUUGUCGGCGGGGUAACGGCCCACCGAGCCGACGAUCGGUAGGGUUCUGAGAGGAAGGUCCCCCACACUGGAACUGAGACACGGUCCAGACUCCUACGGGAGGCAGCAGUGAGGAAUAUUGGUCAAUGGUCGAGAGACUGAACCAGCCAAGUAGCCGUGAAGGAUGACUGCCCUAUGGGUUGUAAACUUCUUUUGUUCGGGAAUAAAGUGCGGGACGCGUCCCGCUUUGUAUGUACCGUACGAAUAAGCAUCGGCUAAUUCCGUGCCAGCCGCCGC